RNAcentral lists this ribosomal RNA (468 nucleotides) under uncultured bacterium. RNAcentral's name for it is "partial 16S ribosomal RNA". It matches the Rfam family "Bacterial small subunit ribosomal RNA", at positions 28 to 507 of the family's 1533-position model. The record is from RNAcentral.
GACGAACGCUGGCGGCGUGCUUAACACAUGCAAGUCGAACGGAAAGGCCCUGCUUUUGUGGGGUGCUCGAGUGGCGAACGGGUGAGUAACACGUGAGUAACCUGCCCUUGACUUUGGGAUAACUUCAGGAAACUGGGGCUAAUACCGGAUAGGAGCUCCUGCUGCAUGGUGGGGGUUGGAAAGUUUCGGCGGUUGGGGAUGGACUCGCGGCUUAUCAGCUUGUUGGUGGGGUAGUGGCUUACCAAGGCUUUGACGGGUAGCCGGCCUGAGAGGGUGACCGGCCACAUUGGGACUGAGAGACGGCCCAGAGUCCUACGGGAGGCAGCAGUGGGGAAUAUUGCACAAUGGGAGGAAGCCUGAUGCGGCAACGCCGCGGGCGGGAUGACGGCCUUCGGGUUGUAAACCGCUUUCGCCUGUGACGAAGCGGGAGUGACGGUAAUGGGUAAAGAAGCACCGGCUAACUACGUG